RNAcentral lists this ribosomal RNA (485 nucleotides) under uncultured bacterium. Its description in RNAcentral is "bacterial SSU rRNA". It matches the Rfam family "Bacterial small subunit ribosomal RNA", at positions 903 to 1397 of the family's 1533-position model. The record is from RNAcentral.
AAAUGAAUAGACGGGGGCCCGCACAAGCAGCGGAGCGUGUGGUUUAAUUCGAUGCUACACGAAGAACCUUACCAGGGUUUGACAUUAUGGAAGUAGGGACCUGAAAGGGCGACGAUCAGUAUCCAAUCUGGAACCAUAACAGGUGCUGCAUGGUUGUCGUCAGCUCGUGCCGUGAGGUGUUGGGUUAAGUCCCGCAACGAGCGCAACCCUCGUCGCUAGUUAAUUUCUCUAGCGAGAUCGCCCUGUACAACGGGGAGGAAGGUGGGGAUGACGUCAAAUCAGCACGGCCUUUAUACCCUGGGCAACACACACGCUACAAUGGGUGCCACAACGGGUUGCGAGACAGCAAUGUGGAGCUAAUCCCUUAAAAGCAUCCUCAGUUCAGAUUGCAGUCUGAAACCGGCUGCAUGAAGUCGGAGUUGCUAGUAAACGCAGGUCAGCAUACUGCGUUGAAUACGUUCUCGGGUCUUGUACACACCGCCCGU